This is a long non-coding RNA of Octopus sinensis (East Asian common octopus), 215 nucleotides long. RefSeq lists it as uncharacterized. The record is from RefSeq and is a predicted model, not a curated record. The transcript has 3 exons. Lineage: Eukaryota; Metazoa; Mollusca; Cephalopoda; Octopoda; Octopodidae.
AAGUGUAUAAAUUUUUAAUUUUGCUUAUAAUUUGAUAAUUUUGCUAAUUUUUUGAUAAUGUUAUUUUCAUCGCUGUUGGAUCCCGCUUAUCUGUCCACAACAACUUUUUCCAAUUUGGCUACAAUCAUUUCCUCUACCUCCAUCUCCAAGAUGGAGCAAUAGUUUAGCUGAACUGAAAGAACGCAUUCAAUUAGCAGUGCAGGAAAUAAGUCCUG